GCCAGGCAUGGUGGCGCGUGCCUGUAAUCCCAGCUGCUCAGGAGGCUGAGGCAGAAGAAUCGCUUGAUCCUGGGAGGUGGAGGUUGCAGUGAGCAGAGAUCGUGCCACUACACUCCAGCCUGGGCGACAGAGUGAGAUUCUGUCUCAA
This 148-nucleotide small RNA is filed under the name Pongo abelii (Sumatran orangutan). Its description in RNAcentral is "Metazoan signal recognition particle RNA (ENSPPYG00000039831.1)". The record is from Rfam by way of RNAcentral. Lineage: Eukaryota; Metazoa; Chordata; Mammalia; Primates; Hominidae.